RNAcentral lists this ribosomal RNA (484 nucleotides) under uncultured bacterium. RNAcentral describes it as "partial 16S ribosomal RNA". It matches the Rfam family "Bacterial small subunit ribosomal RNA", at positions 28 to 507 of the family's 1533-position model. The record is from RNAcentral.
AUUGAACGCUGGCGGCAUGCUUUACACAUGCAAGUCGAACGGCAGCGCGGGCUUCGGCCUGGCUGCGAGUGGCGAACGGGUGAGUAAUGCAUUGGAACGUGCCCAGUAGUGGGGGAUAGUCCGGCGAAAGCCGGAUUAAUACCGCAUACGAGCUGAGGGUGAAAGCGGGGGACCGAAAGGCCGCGCGCUAUUGUGGGGGCCGAUGUCGGGUUAGCUAGUUGGUGGGGUAAAGGGUUACCAAGGCGACGAUUCGUAGCUGGUCUGAGAGGACGGCCAGCCACACUGGGAGUGGGCCACGGCCCAGACUCCUACGGGAGGCAGCAGUGGGGAAUUUUGGACAAUGGGGGCAACCCUGAUCCAGCCAUGCCGCGUGCGGGAAGAAGGCCUUCGGGUUGUAAACCGCUUUUGUUCGGGAAGAAAUCCUCUGGGCUAAUACCCCGGGGGGAUGACGGUACCGGAAGAAUAAGCACCGGCUAACUACGUG